Molecule: long non-coding RNA, 290 nt
Filed under: Solanum tuberosum (potato)
Lineage: Eukaryota; Viridiplantae; Streptophyta; Magnoliopsida; Solanales; Solanaceae
Description: long non-coding RNA (STUB_LNC009993)
Source: RNAcentral
AAACACUGGUUCGGGAGUUCGAGAAUCAGUUGUAUACAUGGUGUAUAUAUCAAAUAUACACUUGGUGUAUAUCAUGACAAAUGAUAAUGAAAAAAGGGGCCAAAAGCCUAAGGAAAUUACAGCAGGUCCAAGUUGCAGGAAAAUGGGCCAAAGCCCAAUGAGACAACCAUCAGCUAUUUUGGAUUAAAAUGGGCCAAAACCCAUAAUUUUGGUUUUCUUUAGAGUUUAAGACAGGUGGGCCAAAAGGCCAUUUUAAUUGGAUUUGGGUCAAAAUCCAAGUCUAAUUGUUU